Non-coding RNA from Caenorhabditis tropicalis, 91 nucleotides. The record is from Rfam. Lineage: Eukaryota; Metazoa; Nematoda; Chromadorea; Rhabditida; Rhabditidae.
GAGCUAAUAGUUUGGAUGGCUGUGCCUUGAGGAAAUACAGUAAUCAGAUGUCAUUUCAUCAGGCCAUAGCUGUCCAAAUUGUUUUUGCUCG